ACCUGUUCCCGUGGCCGAGCGCGGCCCCGGGGCAACGGACACACAUUGUGCCUGGGAAGAACUGGGCACUUCAGGGCGUU
Non-coding RNA from Streptomyces sp. CcalMP-8W, 80 nucleotides. NCBI's taxonomy places the organism in Bacteria, Bacillati, Actinomycetota, Actinomycetes, Kitasatosporales, Streptomycetaceae. The record is from Rfam.